This 183-nucleotide ribosomal RNA is filed under the name uncultured Nitrospirales bacterium. RNAcentral's name for it is "partial 16S ribosomal RNA". It matches the Rfam family "Bacterial small subunit ribosomal RNA", at positions 337 to 522 of the family's 1533-position model. Lineage: Bacteria; Pseudomonadati; Nitrospirota; Nitrospiria; Nitrospirales. The record is from RNAcentral.
UCCUACGGGAGGCAGCAGUAAGGAAUAUUGCGCAAUGGGCGAAAGCCUGACGCAGCGACGCCGCGUGGGGGAUGAAGGUCUUCGGAUUGUAAACCCCUUUCGGGAGGGAAGAUGGAACGAGCAAUCGUUCGGACGGUACCUCCAGAAGCAGCCACGGCUAACUUCGUGCCAGCAGCCGCGGUA